This 600-nucleotide ribosomal RNA is filed under the name Salmonella enterica subsp. enterica serovar Mikawasima. Its description in RNAcentral is "partial 23S ribosomal RNA". It matches the Rfam family "Bacterial large subunit ribosomal RNA", at positions 589 to 1190 of the family's 2925-position model. The record is from RNAcentral. Lineage: Bacteria; Pseudomonadati; Pseudomonadota; Gammaproteobacteria; Enterobacterales; Enterobacteriaceae.
GGGUGUGACUGCGUACCUUUUGUAUAAUGGGUCAGCGACUUAUAUUCUGUAGCAAGGUUAACCGUAUAGGGGAGCCGGAGGGAAACCGAGUCUUAACCGGGCGUUAAGUUGCAGGGUAUAGACCCGAAACCCGGUGAUCUAGCCAUGGGCAGGUUGAAGGUUGGGUAACACUAACUGGAGGACCGAACCGACUAAUGUUGAAAAAUUAGCGGAUGACCUGUGGCUGGGGGUGAAAGGCCAAUCAAACCGGGAGAUAGCUGGUUCUCCCCGAAAGCUAUUUAGGUAGCGCCUCGUGAACUCAUCUCCGGGGGUAGAGCACUGUUUCGGCUAGGGGGCCAUCCCGGCUUACCAACCCGAUGCAAACUGCGAAUACCGGAGAAUGUUAUCACGGGAGACACACGGCGGGUGCUAACGUCCGUCGUGAAGAGGGAAACAACCCAGACCGCCAGCUAAGGUCCCAAAGUCAUGGUUAAGUGGGAAACGAUGUGGGAAGGCCCAGACAGCCAGGAUGUUGGCUUAGAAGCAGCCAUCAUUUAAAGAAAGCGUAAUAGCUCACUGGUCGAGUCGGCCUGCGCGGAAGAUGUAACGGGGCUAAACCAU